AUACGGAGGAUCCGAGCGUUAUCCGGAUUUAUUGGGUUUAAAGGGUGCGCAGGCGGCCAUUUAAGUCAGCGGUUAAAUCGUGGGGCUCAACCCCAUUCUGCCGUUGAUACUGGGUGGCUUGAUUGCGGUCGAGGUUGGCGGAAUUCGUUGUGUAGCGGUGAAAUGCAUAGAUAUGACGAAGAACACCGAUUGCGUAGGCAGCUGACCAGAUCGCAAAUGACGCUCAUGCACGAAAGUGCGGGGAUCGAACAGGAUUAGAUACCCUGGUAGUCCGCACAGUAAACGAUGAAUACUUGUUUUCGGCGAUAUAAUGUCGGAGGCAAAGCGAAAGCGAUAAGUAAUCCACCUGGGGAGUACGUCGGCAACGAUGAAACUCAAAGGAAUUGACGGGG
Molecule: ribosomal RNA, 392 nt
Filed under: uncultured bacterium
Lineage: Bacteria
Description: partial 16S ribosomal RNA
Rfam family: Bacterial small subunit ribosomal RNA
Source: RNAcentral